RNAcentral lists this unclassified non-coding RNA (765 nucleotides) under Hevea brasiliensis (rubber tree). Lineage: Eukaryota; Viridiplantae; Streptophyta; Magnoliopsida; Malpighiales; Euphorbiaceae. The record is from RNAcentral.
GCCCCCGCAGCCCCGCUCACAGGAUGAGUGAUAGCAUUCCACACACCUGAACCAGGGUGCAACCUCCUCCACCAAUCCAAUAACCUUCCUAUAAUCCUCGCCAGCCUUGCUCUGCUCCAAUGCCACACACUUCACGAUGGCCACCACCACCUCCACCACUACCUUCGCAAACUCUGCAUCCCCAUUCUCCACCACACUGGGUACAAACCCCCCCAAUUUUUCCUUCCUCUUCUUCUUCUCCCCCAAAUCCAAACCUCUAAGCCUCUCCAAAACCCCAAACCCUUCAUUUUCUGCUUCCUUGUAAAAUCCACAAGCUUCCAAGCAAUACAGCAACCUCACCCUCUGUAUACUCACCAUAUAAGGCUUACACGAUAACUGUGAAGACACCAGUUCCAAGCAAUCCAAACACAGCUUGUAAAUAUCAAAAAGUUCAGGAACAAGCUUCGGGGACUCCUUACUCUCCUCAGUGCGUAAUUUGGAGGAAUCAGAGAGGCGUUUUGGCAAAAUUGAAAGGCAGCGAUUGAGGAAAGGAAGGAACUGCUUAGCUAGAGAUCGAGUGAAGGUCUGGAUUUGGGAUUUGGGUUUCUUGGCAUUUCUUAGAUCAUUGAAAGGGAUAAGGAAAUCAAAGAAGUGGGAGGAAAUUGGAGUAGAAGUGGAGGAUUCGAGCAUAGAAAUUAGAUUGGAUUCUGUGGAAGAAGCCAUGAAAGAAAGAGAGAGAAGCAGAGGAAGAGGAAGGAAGAUGGGAGAAGAAAAUGAGAGUUGUUA